RNAcentral lists this long non-coding RNA (491 nucleotides) under Capsicum annuum. RNAcentral describes it as "long non-coding RNA (CANN_LNC014071)". Lineage: Eukaryota; Viridiplantae; Streptophyta; Magnoliopsida; Solanales; Solanaceae. The record is from RNAcentral.
CCAAUCUCCUUCCAUAAGUCCUUACUGCUACCUCAUUAAAAAUCAUGCCUACAAAAACCCUCAUUGGGGACAAAAGGCUUGGUCAAAUGAAAAAAUAGUGUAGCUCAUCCUUUCAGGCGUUCAGUCUUGAUUCUGCGGUUGAUGGGUUCCCUUUCUCCUGGUGCCUUUGAGGGUUCUGCUCGCCCCAGGCCAUGGAUGUUGAGUUCAGACUCCCAAUAAGAGGUUGUCCCUCCUCCGAGAGCAAGAGUUGUUGUCAAGAACCUGCCAUACCAUGGAAAAAGAGAAAAAUAAGUAGUUAGGAAUAAUUUAAAAGAAAGAGAACGUACCCAUUGUUCUGUAUGGGUUUUAGUAACUUAUCGUCUUGCAAGGGAAACCUAACUUACGACCUGCUUGUUCCCUUCAACUUUUUCCCUAUAGUUUACCUUGGUGCAGUCACUUAAGAAUGCCCUCAAGUAUCCAUGCUUGAGUAGCUCGACCACCGAUUCUAUUAG